AACUCAAAUGAAUUGACGGGGGCCCGCACAAGCGGUGGAGCAUGUGGUUUAAUUCGAUGCAACGCGAAGAACCUUACCUGGUCUUGACAUCCACAGAACUUGGCAGAGAUGCCUUGGUGCCUUCGGGAACUGUGAGACAGGUGCUGCAUGGCUGUCGUCAGCUCGUGUUGUGAAAUGUUGGGUUAAGUCCCGCAACGAGCGCAACCCUUAUCCUUUGUUGCCAGCGGUUAGGCCGGGAACUCAAAGGAGACUGCCAGUGAUAAACUGGAGGAAGGUGGGGAUGACGUCAAGUCAUCAUGGCCCUUACGACCAGGGCUACACACGUGCUACAAUGGCGCAUACAAAGAGAAGCAAACUCGCGAGAGCAAGCGGACCUCAUAAAGUGCGUCGUAGUCCGGAUUGGAGUCUGCAACUCGACUCCAUGAAGUCGGAAUCGCUAGUAAUCGUGAAUCAGAAUGUCACGGUGAAUACGUUCCCGGGCCUUGUACACACCGCCCGUCACACCAUGGGAGUGGGUUGCAAAAGAAGUAGGUAGCUUAACCUUCGGGAGGGCGCUUACCACUUUGUGAUUCAUGACUGGGGUGAAGUCGUAACAAGGUAGCC
This 603-nucleotide ribosomal RNA is filed under the name uncultured Escherichia sp. RNAcentral describes it as "bacterial SSU rRNA". It matches the Rfam family "Bacterial small subunit ribosomal RNA", at positions 898 to 1501 of the family's 1533-position model. Lineage: Bacteria; Pseudomonadati; Pseudomonadota; Gammaproteobacteria; Enterobacterales; Enterobacteriaceae. The record is from RNAcentral.